UGGGGAAUAGUGCACAAUGGGGGAAACCCUGAUGCAACGACGCCGCGUGAGCGAAGAAGGCUUUCGAGUCGUAAAGCUCUGUCCUAUGAGAAGAUAAUGACGGUAUCAUAGGAGGAAGCCCUGGCUAAAUACGUGCCAGCAGCCGCGGUAAUACGUAUGGGGCGAGCGUUGUCCGGAAUUAUUGGGCGUAAAGGGUACGUAGGCGGUUUUUUAAGUCAGGUGUCAAAGCGUGGAGCUUAACUCCAUUAAGCACUUGAAACUGAAAGACUUGAGUGAAGGAGAGGAAAGUGGAAUUCCUAGUGUAGCGGUGAAAUGCGUAGAUAUUAGGAGGAAUACCGGUGGCGAAGGCGACUUUCUGGACUUUUACUGACGCUCAGGUACGAAAGCGUGGGGAGCAAACAGG
Molecule: ribosomal RNA, 403 nt
Filed under: Verrucomicrobiota bacterium
Lineage: Bacteria; Pseudomonadati; Verrucomicrobiota
Description: Verrucomicrobia bacterium partial 16S ribosomal RNA
Rfam family: Bacterial small subunit ribosomal RNA
Source: RNAcentral